GGAAAUUGGAGGUAGGCCUGGGACCAGGUAAAGUAUCAUCUUAAUCAAAUCUAUCAAUUUAUCAUUUGUAAUUUGGUAUGGCAUUCAAGUUUUUAGUCUGCAGUUUUUCCAUUUUGCCCCUAUUCAGCUCUAAAAAAAUCUCGGUACCCUAUAAACACUUCAAAUUUCUUCUCUGACACAAAUAUUUCUUUGAAACUUUAAAAGAUUCAGAGAACCUCUGAAAGACGUUGAUCUCUAUGUACCAGCAAACUUUUUGGGCUAUUUCAAAUCUUUCUGCUUGUUUUUCAACUUCUAUUUACUUCCAUCUGUACGCGUGCUUGGCUCUGGAAUUUGCAUCGUAUUGAUAACUCAACGAUCUUAUGGACGAAUAAAACAGAGAACUAUCGGAGCAUUGAGGGAUUUUUA
RNAcentral lists this long non-coding RNA (405 nucleotides) under Citrus maxima (pomelo). RNAcentral's name for it is "long non-coding RNA (CMAX_LNC001029)". Lineage: Eukaryota; Viridiplantae; Streptophyta; Magnoliopsida; Sapindales; Rutaceae. The record is from RNAcentral.